CUUUCCCCAAUCUGUGAAGUAGCUAAUAAUAUAGAACAGAAUGCUCAAGAGAAUGAAAAUGAAAGCCAAGUUUCAACAGAUGAAAGUUUACAACAGUGGAAAGUUGGGGACAAAUGUUCUGCCAUUUGGUCAGAAGACGGUUG
Molecule: small RNA, 143 nt
Filed under: Homo sapiens (human)
Lineage: Eukaryota; Metazoa; Chordata; Mammalia; Primates; Hominidae
Source: RNAcentral